This is a long non-coding RNA of Amaranthus tricolor (Joseph's coat), 627 nucleotides long. RefSeq lists it as uncharacterized. NCBI's taxonomy places the organism in Eukaryota, Viridiplantae, Streptophyta, Magnoliopsida, Caryophyllales, Amaranthaceae. The record is from RefSeq and is a predicted model, not a curated record. The transcript is spliced from 2 exons.
AUAUGCAUGUUACAUUUUUUUUUCCUCCAAUAAAGUAGUACGGAUAAUUAUUCAUAAUUUCAAUAUAUAUUAAUUCUAUUUGCUAUAUAAGUUUGAGAUAUAAAUUCCAUUCAAUCCCCAAUCCCCAAUCCCCAUCAAUUAUUUAAAAAAAAACACUAUGAAAAAUAAUAGUAAGAGUAAAUUAUUUCCUUCAUUUAUUUUUCUUUUAUUUACAUUGCUAUUUUUGAGCUUCAAUGUGGUUCAUAUUGAGGGCGAAUGCUUGAAGGUCCCUGCUGCUGACAGUAAGAGACCAGUCUGCAAGAACGAAAAGCAAGUUGAUUUUUGCUGUUGAUGUUCAUAUUAUGACCAAGAAAUCAUCUUUUGUGAAGGUCUUGACGCUAAAGUGAAAAUUGCAACAUAAUGAAAACAAUUUUGCAGGCCUUUAACUUUUGACAAACUUUUAACUUUAUUGAUUUUGCACUCUUUAACAUCAACGAGUGUAUGUAAAUAUUAAAAUUAGGUAUUUUUGUUGGUUGGACUUUUCUAACCAAGUUACGAAAACUUAAGAUCAAAGCUCCAUCAACGAAUGUGUGUACGUAUAUGAAUAUCGAAUUCUAAUACUUUUUUAGAUAUGAUGAUUUGGUAUGA